RNAcentral lists this microRNA (21 nucleotides) under Medicago truncatula (barrel medic). RNAcentral's name for it is "mtr-miR5244". Lineage: Eukaryota; Viridiplantae; Streptophyta; Magnoliopsida; Fabales; Fabaceae. The record is from miRBase by way of RNAcentral.
UAUCUCAUGAAGAUUGUUGGU